GCUGGGCACAGUGGCGCAUGCCUGUAAUCCCAGCGGCUUGGGAAGCUGAGACAUGAGGAUCGCGAGUUCAAAGUCAGCCUUAGCAACAGAGAGGCACUAAGCAAUGCAGUGGGACCCUGUCUCUA
This 125-nucleotide small RNA is filed under the name Marmota monax (woodchuck). The record is from RNAcentral. Lineage: Eukaryota; Metazoa; Chordata; Mammalia; Rodentia; Sciuridae.